CUUCCUCUUCCUUUCAAAUACAGUAAUCCCCCCUUAUCCGUGGGGGUACAUUCCAAGACCCACAGUGGAUGCCUGAAAGCUUGAAUAGUAGGAACCCUAUUUAGACUAUGUUUUUUCCUAUACAUAUAUACCUACGAUAAAG
Molecule: non-coding RNA, 142 nt
Organism: Ceratotherium simum simum (southern white rhinoceros)
Lineage: Eukaryota; Metazoa; Chordata; Mammalia; Perissodactyla; Rhinocerotidae
Source: RefSeq, a predicted model, not a curated record